CUACGGGUGGCUGCAGUGGGGAAUCUUGCGCAAUGGACGAAAGUCUGACGCAGCGACGCCGCGUGGACGAUGAAGGCCCUAGGGUCGUAAAGUCCUGUCGUAGGGAAAGAAACCGGGAAACCGCUGACGGUACCCUACAAGAAAGCACAGGCUAACUCCGUGCCAGCAGCCGCGGUAAUACGGAGUGUGCGAGCGUUGUUCGGAAUUACUGGGCGUAAAGCGCGUGUAGGCGGCUUGGAAAGUCGGGUGUGAAAUCCCGGGGCUCAACCCCGGAACUGCAUUCGAAACUUCCUGGCUUGAGUUCGGGAGGGGAUGGUGGAAUUCCGAGUGUAGAGGUGGAAUUCGUAGAUAUUCGGAGGAACACCCGUGGCGAAGGCGACCAUCUGGACCGAUACUGACGCUGAGACGCGAAAGCGUGGGUAGCAAACAGGAUUAGAUACCCGUGUAGUC
Molecule: ribosomal RNA, 450 nt
Filed under: uncultured bacterium
Lineage: Bacteria
Description: partial 16S ribosomal RNA
Rfam family: Bacterial small subunit ribosomal RNA
Source: RNAcentral